RNAcentral lists this ribosomal RNA (637 nucleotides) under Arthrobacter sp. B1178_2. Its description in RNAcentral is "bacterial SSU rRNA". It matches the Rfam family "Bacterial small subunit ribosomal RNA", at positions 68 to 719 of the family's 1533-position model. The record is from RNAcentral. Lineage: Bacteria; Bacillati; Actinomycetota; Actinomycetes; Micrococcales; Micrococcaceae.
GAUGAUGCCAGCUUGCUGGUGGAUUAGUGGCGAACGGGUGAGUAACACGUGAGUAACCUGCCCUUAACUCUGGGAUAAGCCUGGGAAACUGGGUCUAAUACCGGAUAUGACUCCUCAUCGCAUGGUGGGGGGUGGAAAGCUUUUUGUGGUUUUGGAUGGACUCGCGGCCUAUCAGCUUGUUGGUGAGGUAAUGGCUCACCAAGGCGACGACGGGUAGCCGGCCUGAGAGGGUGACCGGCCACACUGGGACUGAGACACGGCCCAGACUCCUACGGGAGGCAGCAGUGGGGAAUAUUGCACAAUGGGCGCAAGCCUGAUGCAGCGACGCCGCGUGAGGGAUGACGGCCUUCGGGUUGUAAACCUCUUUCAGUAGGGAAGAAGCGAAAGUGACGGUACCUGCAGAAGAAGCGCCGGCUAACUACGUGCCAGCAGCCGCGGUAAUACGUAGGGCGCAAGCGUUAUCCGGAAUUAUUGGGCGUAAAGAGCUCGUAGGCGGUUUGUCGCGUCUGCCGUGAAAGUCCGGGGCUCAACUCCGGAUCUGCGGUGGGUACGGGCAGACUAGAGUGAUGUAGGGGAGACUGGAAUUCCUGGUGUAGCGGUGAAAUGCGCAGAUAUCAGGAGGAACACCGAUGGCGAA